This 441-nucleotide ribosomal RNA is filed under the name uncultured bacterium. RNAcentral describes it as "partial 16S ribosomal RNA". It matches the Rfam family "Bacterial small subunit ribosomal RNA", at positions 338 to 795 of the family's 1533-position model. The record is from RNAcentral.
CCUACGGGAGGCAGCAGUCGGGAAUAUUGCGCAAUGGAGGAAACUCUGACGCAGUGACGCCGCGUGCAGGAAGAAGGUUUUCGGAUUGUAAACUGCUUUAGACAGGGAAGAAACAAGACAGUACCUGUAAAAUAAGCUCCGGCUAACUACGGCCAAGCAGCCGCGGUAAAACGUAGGGAGAAAGGGUUAUCCGGAUUAAUUGGGUGCAAAGGUGGGGUAGAGGGGAAGUCAAGUUGGUUGUGAAAUCCCUCGGCUUAACUGAGGAACUGCAACCAAAACUAACUUUCUUGAGUGCUGGAGAGGAAAGUGGAAUUCCUAGUGUAGCGGUGAAAUGCGUAGAUAUUAGGAGGAACACCAGUGGCGAAGGCGACUUUCUGGACAGUAACUGACGUUGAGGCACGAAAGUGUGGGGAGCAAACAGGAUUAGAUACCCCUGUAGUC